Molecule: ribosomal RNA, 347 nt
Filed under: uncultured bacterium
Lineage: Bacteria
Description: partial 16S ribosomal RNA
Rfam family: Bacterial small subunit ribosomal RNA
Source: RNAcentral
CCUACGGGGGGCAGCAGUGAGGAAUAUUGGUCAAUGGGCGCGAGCCUGAACCAGCCAAGUAGCGUGAAGGAUGACGGCCCUACGGGUUGUAAACUGCUUUUAUAAAGGAAUAAAGUGAGGCACGUGUGCGUUUUUGUAUGUACUUUAUGAAUAAGGAUCGGCUAACUCCGUGCCAGCAGCCGCGGUAAUACGGAGGAUCCGAGCGUUAUCCGGAUUUAUUGGGUUUAAAGGGAGUGUAGAGGGGUUGUUAAGUCAGUUGUGACAGUUUGCGGCUCAACCGUAAAAUUGCACUUGAUACUGGCAGUCUUGAGUACAGUUGAGGUAGGCGGAAUUCGUCUUGUAGCGGU